CCUACGGGCGGCAGCAGUGAGGAAUAUUGGUCAAUGGGCGCGAGCCUGAACCAGCCAAGUAGCGUGAAGGAUGACUGCCCUACGGGUUGUAAACUUCUUUUAUAAAGGAAUAAAGUGAGGCAAGUGUGCCUUUUUGUAUGUACUUUAUGAAUCAGGAUCGGCUAACUCCGUUCCAGCAGCCGCGGUAAUACGGAGGCUCCGAGCGUUAUCCGGAUUUAUUGGGUUAAGAGGGUGCGUAGGCGGAUCGUUAAGUCAGAGGUCAAAUUGAGGGGCUCAAACCCUUCCCGCCAUUGAAGCUGGCGAUCUUGAGUGGAAGAGAAGUAUGCGGAAUGCGUGGUGUAGCGGUGAAAUGCAUAGAUAUCACGCAGAACCCCGAGUGCGAAGGCAGCAUGCCGGCUUCCGACUGACGCUGAAGCACGAAAGCGUGGGGAUCGAACAGGAUUAGAUACCCUUGUAGUC
This 459-nucleotide ribosomal RNA is filed under the name uncultured bacterium. RNAcentral's name for it is "partial 16S ribosomal RNA". It matches the Rfam family "Bacterial small subunit ribosomal RNA", at positions 338 to 795 of the family's 1533-position model. The record is from RNAcentral.